CAUGCCGCGUGUUGAAGGCCAUGG
This 24-nucleotide non-coding RNA is filed under the name Arabidopsis thaliana (thale cress). Lineage: Eukaryota; Viridiplantae; Streptophyta; Magnoliopsida; Brassicales; Brassicaceae. The record is from RNAcentral.